AUUGAACGCUGGCGGCAGGCCUAACACAUGCAAGUCGAGCGGAUGAAGGGAGCUUGCUCCUGGAUUCAGCGGCGGACGGGUGAGUAAUGCCUAGGAAUCUGCCUGGUAGUGGGGGAUAACGUCCGGAAACGGGCGCUAAUACCGCAUACGUCCUGAGGGAGAAAGUGGGGGAUCUUCGGACCUCACGCUAUCAGAUGAGCCUAGGUCGGAUUAGCUAGUUGGUGGGGUAAAGGCCUACCAAGGCGACGAUCCGUAACUGGUCUGAGAGGAUGAUCAGUCACACUGGAACUGAGACACGGUCCAGACUCCUACGGGAGGCAGCAGUGGGGAAUAUUGGACAAUGGGCGAAAGCCCGAUCCAGCCAUGCCGCGUGUGUGAAGAAGGUCUUCGGAUUGUAAAGCACUUUAGGUUGGGAGGAAGGGCAGUAAGUUAAUACCUUGCUGUUUUGACGUUACCAACAGAAUAAGCACCGGCUAACUUCGUG
This 484-nucleotide ribosomal RNA is filed under the name uncultured bacterium. Its description in RNAcentral is "partial 16S ribosomal RNA". It matches the Rfam family "Bacterial small subunit ribosomal RNA", at positions 30 to 507 of the family's 1533-position model. The record is from RNAcentral.